Molecule: ribosomal RNA, 395 nt
Filed under: uncultured Burkholderia sp.
Lineage: Bacteria; Pseudomonadati; Pseudomonadota; Betaproteobacteria; Burkholderiales; Burkholderiaceae
Description: bacterial SSU rRNA
Rfam family: Bacterial small subunit ribosomal RNA
Source: RNAcentral
UACCCUUGACAUGUAUGGAAGUCCGCUGAGAGGUGGAUGUGCCCGAAAGGGAGCCAUAACACAGGUGCUGCAUGGCUGUCGUCAGCUCGUGUCGUGAGAUGUUGGGUUAAGUCCCGCAACGAGCGCAACCCUUGUCCCUAGUUGCUACGCAAGAGCACUCCAGGGAGACUGCCGGUGACAAACCGGAGGAAGGUGGGGAUGACGUCAAGUCCUCAUGGCCCUUAUGGGUAGGGCUUCACACGUCAUACAAUGGUCGGAACAGAGGGUUGCCAAGCCGCGAGGUGGAGCCAAUCCCAGAAAACCGAUCGUAGUCCGGAUCGCACUCUGCAACUCGAGUGCGUGAAGCUGGAAUCGCUAGUAAUCGCGGAUCAGCAUGCCGCGGUGAAUACGUUCCC